This 164-nucleotide ribosomal RNA is filed under the name Pinanga chaiana. Its description in RNAcentral is "5.8S rRNA". It matches the Rfam family "5.8S ribosomal RNA". Rfam says of the family: 5.8S ribosomal RNA (5.8S rRNA) is a component of the large subunit of the eukaryotic ribosome. It is transcribed by RNA polymerase I as part of the 45S precursor that also contains 18S and 28S rRNA. The record is from RNAcentral. Lineage: Eukaryota; Viridiplantae; Streptophyta; Magnoliopsida; Arecales; Arecaceae.
AUGAUGACUCUCGGCAACGGAUAUCUCGGCUCUCGCAUCGAUGAAGAACGUAGCGAAAUGCGAUACCUGGUGUGAAUUGCAGAAUCCCGUGAACCACCGAGUCUUUGAACGCAAGUUGCGCCCGAGGUCACCCGGCCGAGGGCACGCCUGCCUGGGCGUCACGC